UAGCAUAUCAAUAAGCGGAGGAAAAGAAACCACAGGGAUUACCUCAGUAACGGCGAGUGAAGCGGUAACAGCUCAAAUUUGAAAUCUGGCCUCACGGUCCGAGUUGUAAUUUGUAGAGGAUGCUUCGAGCAUGGUCUGGCCUAAGUUCCUUGGAACAGGACGUCAUAGAGGGUGAGAAUCCCGUAUGCGGCCAGGUGCCUACGCUCAUGUGAAGCUCCUUCGACGAGUCGAGUUGUUUGGGAAUGCAGCUCAAAAUGGGUGGUAAAUUUCAUCUAAAGCUAAAUAUUGGCCAGAGACCGAUAGCGCACAAGUAGAGUGAUCGAAAGAUGAAAAGCACUUUGGAAAGAGAGUUAAACAGUACGUGAAAUUGUUGAAAGGGAAGCGCUUGCAACCAGACUUGCGCGCGGCCGAUCAUCCGGUGUUCUCACCGGUGCACUCGGCCGUGCUCAGGCCAGCAUCGGUUUUGGCGGCUGGAUAAAGGCCCUAGGAAUGUAGCUCCUCUCGGGGAGUGUUAUAGCCUAGGGUGCAAUGCAGCCUGCUGGGACCGAGGACCGCGCUUCGGCUAGGAUGCUGGCGUAAUGGUUGUAAGCGGCCCGUCUUGAAACACGGACCAAGGAGUCUAACAUCUAUGCGAGUGUUUGGGUGUCAAACCCAUACGCGUAAUGAAAGUGAACGGAGGUGAGAACCCUUAAGGGUGCAUCAUCGACCGGUCCUGAAGUUUACGGAAGGAUCUGAGUAAGAGCAUAGCUGUUGGGACCCGAAAGAUGGUGAACUAUGCCUGAAUAGGGUGAAGCCAGAGGAAACUCUGGUGGAGGCUCGCAGCGGUUCUGACGUGCAAAUCGAUCGUCAAAUUUGGGUAUAGGGGCGAAAGACUAAUCGAACCAUCUAGUAGCUGGUUCCUGCG
RNAcentral lists this ribosomal RNA (904 nucleotides) under Pseudogymnoascus pannorum. RNAcentral describes it as "LSU rRNA". It matches the Rfam family "Eukaryotic large subunit ribosomal RNA", at positions 36 to 962 of the family's 3401-position model. The record is from RNAcentral. Lineage: Eukaryota; Fungi; Ascomycota; Leotiomycetes; Thelebolales; Thelebolaceae.